GAACGUGCGAAACGUAAUGUGAAUUGCAGAAUUCAGUGAAUCAUCGAAUCUUUGAACGCAUCUUGCGCUCCUUGGUAUUCCGAGGAGCAUGCCUGUUUGAGUGUCGUGAAUACUCUCAACUUCAACCCUUUUUUCAAAAGGAGCGAGGUUGGAUUUGGGUGCUUGUUGAAGCGCGAGCUUCGACUCCCCCUAAAUGCAUUAGCGAUCUGCCUCGAUCACACACAAUGUGAUAAUUAAAACUAAAGCAUUGUUUAACGAUCAAGCCGAGACUGCUUCUAACUGUCACACAAGACAAUAACGUGCCUAGCAUGUCAUUUGACCUCAAAUCAGGUAGGACUACCCGCUGAACUUAA
Molecule: unclassified non-coding RNA, 353 nt
Filed under: uncultured Geastrum
Lineage: Eukaryota; Fungi; Basidiomycota; Agaricomycetes; Geastrales; Geastraceae
Description: sequence contains ITS1
Rfam family: 5.8S ribosomal RNA (bases 1-106)
Source: RNAcentral